RNAcentral lists this long non-coding RNA (234 nucleotides) under Lathyrus oleraceus (garden pea). RNAcentral's name for it is "Pisum sativum (pea) long non-coding RNA (PSAT_LNC014350)". The record is from RNAcentral. Lineage: Eukaryota; Viridiplantae; Streptophyta; Magnoliopsida; Fabales; Fabaceae.
AUAUUGCUCAAAAUGUGGAAUCUUACUUAUAACAAUUCAAAAUUUUAUUUAGAAUUUUAUUUAAUUUUUGGUGCAAUUCUUAAUUUCUAUAUUUUAUUUUUAGAGUAAUAAUUUAAAUUAAGAAUUUAUUAAUAUAAAAAUAUUAUAAAUAAUAAAAAUUGAAGGUUUUUUAACUAGUUAGAAAUUAUGUAGUUAAUAAAGUGAAAUUAUAAAAUACAUGGAGGUGGAUAGAAU